AGGAAUUCCUAGUAAGCGCAAGUCAUCAGCUUGUGCUGAUUACGUCCCUGCAAAAUGUACACACCGCCCGUCGCUUUUACCGAUUGAGUGUUCAGGUGAACCUUCUUGAUAGUGUUCGCAUUAAAAAUUAAGUAAACCUUAGCACUUAGAGGAAAAAGAAGUCGUAACAAGGUUUCCGUAGGUGAACCUGCGGAAGGAUC
RNAcentral lists this ribosomal RNA (200 nucleotides) under Myoschiston duplicatum. RNAcentral's name for it is "partial 18S ribosomal RNA". It matches the Rfam family "Eukaryotic small subunit ribosomal RNA", at positions 1606 to 1827 of the family's 1831-position model. The record is from RNAcentral. RNAcentral also lists the same sequence under 1 other name. Lineage: Eukaryota; Ciliophora; Oligohymenophorea; Sessilida; Zoothamnidae.